Molecule: long non-coding RNA, 1946 nt
Filed under: Pogona vitticeps (central bearded dragon)
Lineage: Eukaryota; Metazoa; Chordata; Lepidosauria; Squamata; Agamidae
Description: lncRNA (ENSPVIG00000014073.1)
Source: RNAcentral
AUGGCCGCCCUAAUGGGGACAUCUAAUGGGGGGAGGGAGGGAAAUAACCUUGUCACCCUAUUAUUUUGCGUUCACUUUCGAGCAGCAUGUGGAGUCCCCAAGUCAAGUCCCAGGGAGCGCCAACUACAGGUGUGUAAAACCGGGGGGGAGGCGACAGUAAACGACGGCUAUUAUGGGCUGAGGGGAAGCAGCACCUCCUUUCCUCAGGAAUGGGGGAGAGCGCGGGGGGGGGGAAGAGCCGCGACCUGCCAUUCAAGGGGAAGAGCGUUUAACCGCCAGCCCUGGGGAAGGAACGCACAAGCGCGCGCGCGCCUACGGCUUGUGCGAGUUGGGUGCACGCGCGUGGAGGGCGGGGGCGAGGGGAGCGCAGUGACGUCUCCAGGAUGCGGACAGGUUCCUGCUGCGUCCUCCUCCUCCUCCUCCUCCUCAGCUUGUGUAGCGACAGCCCCGGGUUGGUGCCGCCUCUCCGCAGGAGCGGCGUUCGGCGGCGGCUGUGCUUGCCGGGCUGGGCCCCGCCGGCUGGCACCUGCCUCGUUCUUGGGCCGGCCCGGAAGGUUCUGCCCUCCAUCUUUUUUCCACCGGUGCGGCCGGACCUCACUGGGCGCGACUGCGCCGAGGGCGGUUUUGGCGCUGAGGGUGCCCGAAGGCCAGACCUUAAGGAAGACCGCCGCCCUCCACCAGAGAAGAUGACUUGGAGUUGAGGUGAAUAGCGAGGCGGGCAGGUUGGCUGAUCAUCUUCAAUUGCAGAGGUUAGAGCCAAGGAGGUUGCAAAAAAACAAACAAAAAAAGAAAAAUCCUCCAAGCGGAUGGCUUUAUGCUGAGGGGAUGGCUGUUUAAAGGACAAAUGAGCUUGAUCAUAAGCAAGUGCAAAGUGGUGCAUAUUAGGGCAGUAUUCGUUUCACGUGUACAGUCGUCAGUGGGUAACCCAGUCAAAGGACUCUGGGGUUGGGAGGGCUGUCUUGGGUGAAAAUGUGAACUUAUGGAGUGGGUGCUGUUAAAACAAAAGAAGAAGUUUCUUGCUGGUGUAAUUAAAAAGGGAAUUGAAACUGCUGGUGUCAUACUAGCCUUCCACAAAUCCUUGGUUUGUGUACAGUUCUGAUCACCAAAACUGAAAAAGGGUGAUGUAGAGAUGGGAGGUGCAGAAAAGGCAGCCAAAAUGAUCAAGAGGCUGCCACAGCUGUGCCAUGAGAAAAGGCUUACAAUGAGUGCAGCUGUGUUUACCUUAGGGGGAAAAAGGUGAGAAAUAGGAGGCUUGACAGAAAUGUGUAAACUUAUACAUAGCACAUCAGAUGUGGAUAAGCAGAAGCUUUGCUCCCUCUCUAGUAACACUAGAAGAGUCAGCCAGUGAAACUGAACAGUAAGAGAUUUAGGACAGAUAAAAAGAAUUAUUUAUUCACAAGCUGCAUAAGUACAGUGGAAUUUGCUGCCACAGCUUCAGUGGUUUUAAAGGAAUAUUAGAUAAAUUCAUGGAGAAUGGAAUUAUUAAUGGAUACUAGUCACAAUAGAUGCAUCUCUCCUGCUUUACCAGAGACAGUAUAUGUGCUUCUGUAUUAGAGUGUGAGCAGAAGAGUGCUUUUGUAGUCAUGUCCUCUUUAUGUGCUUCCCAUAGGUAUCUAGAUGUCUGCUGUCUAAACAUAAUGCCUUGGUUCAGAUUCAGCUUGACUCAUAUUUUAUCAGAUGAGUUUAUAGUUUUUUAUAGAUGUUGCAACUAAAGUAGGUUUCUGAUGCAUAAUGUUUUAUCCAGGAGUUGCAGGGAUAUAGGGAGUGGUUUUCUGUAGUGAAUAGGCUCAUUUUGUGCAUCAUCUUCAUGGAAUACAGAUGUGUUAAAAAUGGUAGAUUUACUUAUUUAUUUACAAAUAUACUGUAUCUUGCCUGUCUCCUUAAAGAUCCAAGGUGCCUUACAGUAUUAAAAUAAACAAAGUUAAAAGCUAAAAAAUAAAUUACGA